AGAAUCUGAAACCUAGUGUUUACAAGCAGCGAAAGUAGACAAGAACUACGAUCGCGUACUUUUUGUAGAACGGGCCAGCGAGUUACGAUUAUUAGCAAGGUUAAACAUUACAGAUGUGGAGCCGAAGCGAAAGCGAGUCUAAAGAGGGCAAAAGUUAGUAGUCGUAGACCCGAAACCGUGUGAUCUAUCCAUGGGCAGAGUGAAGUUGAAGUAAAAUUCAAUGGAGGCUCGAACCGGGUAGCGUUUAAAAGCUAUCGGAUGACCUGUGGAUAGGGGUGAAAAGCCAAACGAACACGGAGAUAGCUGGUUCUCCUCGAAAUAGCUUUAGGGCUAGCCUCUAGAUAAGUGAAAAGGGGGUAGAGCACUGAAUGGUCAAGGGGCAUGCAUAUGUUACCAAGACCUAUCAAACUCCGAAUACCAUAUCACAAACUAGGGAGUCAGACUAUGUGGGAUGAGCUUCAUAGUCGAAAGGGAAAGAGCCCAGACCAUCAGCUAAGGUCCCAAAAUAAUAGUUAAGUGGGAAAGGAUGUGGAGUUACUGAGACAACUAGGAUGUUGGCUUAGAAGCAGCCACUCAUUUAAAGAGUGCGUAAUAGCUCACUAGUCAAGUGACUCUGCGCCGAAGAUAACCGGGGCUAAACUAUAUACCGAAGCUAUGGAACGUCAAACGUUGGUAGAGGAGCAAUGUAUGAAGGAAGAAGCAAAAGGCGAAAGCCAUUGUGGACAACAUACAAGAGAGAAUGCUGGCAUGAGUAGCGAGAGGUGAGUGAGAAUCUCACCCGUCGAAAACCUAAGGAUUCCUGAGCAAGGCUCGUCCACUCAGGGUAAGUCGGGACCUAAGGCGAGGCUGAAAAGCGUAGUCGAUGGACAACAGGUGGAAAAUCCUGUACCGAUACAAUCGU
Molecule: ribosomal RNA, 901 nt
Filed under: Peptoniphilus faecalis
Lineage: Bacteria; Bacillati; Bacillota; Tissierellia; Tissierellales; Peptoniphilaceae
Description: Peptoniphilus sp. AGMB00490 partial 23S ribosomal RNA
Rfam family: Bacterial large subunit ribosomal RNA
Source: RNAcentral